This 153-nucleotide ribosomal RNA is filed under the name uncultured soil bacterium. Its description in RNAcentral is "partial 16S ribosomal RNA". It matches the Rfam family "Bacterial small subunit ribosomal RNA", at positions 352 to 507 of the family's 1533-position model. The record is from RNAcentral.
CCGCGGUAAUAUUGGACAAUGGGCGAAAGCCUGAUCCAGCGACGCCGCGUGAGGGAUGAAGGCCUUCGGGUUGUAAACCUCUGUUGUUAGGAAAGAAGCCGGGUGCAUAACCCGGUGACGGUACCUAACGAGGAAGCCCCGGCUAACUACGUG